Molecule: ribosomal RNA, 465 nt
Filed under: uncultured bacterium
Lineage: Bacteria
Description: partial 16S ribosomal RNA
Rfam family: Bacterial small subunit ribosomal RNA
Source: RNAcentral
GAUGAACGCUGGCGGCGUGCUUAACACAUGCAAGUCGAACGGAAAGGCCCAAGCUUGCUUGGGUACUCGAGUGGCGAACGGGUGAGUAACACGUGGGUGAUCUGCCCUGCACUUCGGGAUAAGCCUGGGAAACUGGGUCUAAUACCGGAUAGGACCACAUUUUGGAUGGUGUGGUGGAAAGUUUUUCGGUGUGGGAUGAGCUCGCGGCCUAUCAGCUUGUUGGUGGGGUAAUGGCCUACCAAGGCGUCGACGGGUAGCCGGCCUGAGAGGGUGUACGGCCACAUUGGGACUGGAAUACGGCCCAGACUCCUACGGGAGGCAGCAGUGGGGGAUAUUGCACAAUGGGCGCAAGCCUGAUGCAGCGACGCCGCGUGGGGGAUGACGGCCUUCGGGUUGUAAACUCCUUUCGCUAGGGACGAAGCGCAAGUGACGGUACCUGGAGAAGAAGCACCGGCUAACUACGUG